AUUGAACGCUGGCGGCAGGCCUAACACAUGCAAGUCGAGCGGAUGAAGGGAGCUUGCUCCUGGAUUCAGCGGCGGACGGGUGAGUAAUGCCUAGGAAUCUGCCUGGUAGUGGGGGGUAACGUCCGGAAACGGGCGCUAAUACCGCAUACGUCCUGAGGGAGAAAGUGGGGGAUCUUCGGACCUCACGCUAUCAGAUGAGCCUAGGUCGGAUUAGCUAGUUGGUGGGGUAAAGGCCUACCAAGGCGACGAUCCGCAACUGGUCUGAGAGGAUGAUCAGUCACACUGGAACUGAGACACGGUCCAGACUCCUACGGGAGGCAGCAGUGGGGAAUAUUGGACAAUGGGCGAAAGCCUGAUCCAGCCAUGCCGCGUGUGUGAAGAAGGUCUUCGGAUUGUAAAGCACUUUAAGUUGGGAGGAAGGGCAGUAAGUUAAUACCUUGCUGUUUUGACGUUACCAACAGAAUAAGCACCGGCUAACUUCGUG
This 484-nucleotide ribosomal RNA is filed under the name uncultured bacterium. RNAcentral describes it as "partial 16S ribosomal RNA". It matches the Rfam family "Bacterial small subunit ribosomal RNA", at positions 30 to 507 of the family's 1533-position model. The record is from RNAcentral.